RNAcentral lists this transfer RNA (71 nucleotides) under Saccharomyces cerevisiae (brewer's yeast). It matches the Rfam family "tRNA". Rfam says of the family: Transfer RNA (tRNA) molecules are approximately 80 nucleotides in length. Their secondary structure includes four short double-helical elements and three loops (D, anti-codon, and T loops). Lineage: Eukaryota; Fungi; Ascomycota; Saccharomycetes; Saccharomycetales; Saccharomycetaceae. The record is from RNAcentral.
GCGCGAGUGGUUUAGUGGUAAAAUCCAAUGUUGCCAUAGUUGGGCCUCCGGUUCGGUUCCGGGCUUGCGCA